GCGACCGGCGCACGGUGGAGUAACGACGUAUCCAACCUGCCCUUUACUAUGGGACAGCCCGUCGAAAGGCGGAUUAAUACCGUAUGUUGUCAUGUUGAUGCAUAUUUUCAUGACCAAAGGCUUCGGCCGGUAAAGGAUGGGGAUGCGUCUGAUUAGCUUGCCGGCGGGGUAACGGCCCACCGGGGCGACGAUCAGUAGGGGUUCUGAGAGGAAGGUCCCCCACAUUGGAACUGAGACACGGUCCAAACUCCUACGGAAGGCAGCAG
Molecule: ribosomal RNA, 266 nt
Filed under: uncultured bacterium
Lineage: Bacteria
Description: partial 16S ribosomal RNA
Rfam family: Bacterial small subunit ribosomal RNA
Source: RNAcentral